Molecule: ribosomal RNA, 255 nt
Filed under: uncultured bacterium
Lineage: Bacteria
Description: partial 16S ribosomal RNA
Rfam family: Bacterial small subunit ribosomal RNA
Source: RNAcentral
UACGUAGGGGGCAAGCGUUGUCCGGAAUCAUUGGGCGUAAAGCGCGUGUAGGCGGUCCGGUAAGUCCGCUGUGAAAGUCGGGGGCUUAACCCUCGGAUGCCGGUGGAUACUGUCGGGCUUGAGUACGGAAGAGGCGAGUGGAAUUCCUGGUGUAGCGGUGAAAUGCGUAGAGAUCCGGAAGAACACCGGUGGCGAAGGCGGCCUGCUGGGCAGUUUAGCUGACACUGAGGCGCGACAGCGUGGGGAGCAAACAGG